This 495-nucleotide ribosomal RNA is filed under the name uncultured bacterium. Its description in RNAcentral is "partial 16S ribosomal RNA". It matches the Rfam family "Bacterial small subunit ribosomal RNA", at positions 29 to 506 of the family's 1533-position model. The record is from RNAcentral.
AUGAACGCUGGCGGCGUGCCUAAUACCUGCAAGUCGAGCGAACAGACGAGGAGCUUGCUCCUCUGACGUUAGCGGCGGACGGGUGAGUAACACGUGGAUAACCUACCUAUAAGACUGGGAUAACUUCGGGAAACCGGAGCUAAUACCGGAUAAUAUAUUGAACCGCAUGGUUCAAUAGUGAAAGACGGUUUUGCUGUCACUUAUAGAUGGAUCCGCGCCGCAUUAGCUAGUUGGUAAGGUAACGGCUUACCAAGGCGACGAUGCGUAGCCGACCUGAGAGGGGAUCCGCCCAACUGGAACUUGAGACACGGCCCAGACCCCCAGGGGGGGCAGAAGGAGGGAAUUUUCCGAAAGGGGGGAAAGCCUGACGGAGCAACGCCGGGGGAGGGAGAAAGGUUUUCGGACUGAAAAACUUUUUUUUUGGGGAAAAACAAAUGUGUAAGUAACUAUGCACGUCUUGCCGGUACCAAAGAAGAAAGCACCGGUAAACUACGG